Molecule: ribosomal RNA, 430 nt
Filed under: Bacteroidota bacterium
Lineage: Bacteria; Pseudomonadati; Bacteroidota
Description: Bacteroidetes bacterium partial 16S ribosomal RNA
Rfam family: Bacterial small subunit ribosomal RNA
Source: RNAcentral
UAGGGAAUCUUUGGCAAUGGGGGGAACCCUGACCGAGCAACGCCGCGUGAGUGAAGAAGGUUUUCGGAUCGUAAAGAUCUGUUGUCAAGGAAGAACGAGUGUGAGAAUGGAAAGUUCAUACUGUGACGGUAUCUAACCAGAAAGACACGGCUAACUACGUGCCAGCAGCCGCGGUAAUACGUAGGUGGCAAGCGUUGUCCGGACUUAUUGGGCGUAAAGCGAGCGCAGGCGGUCAAUUAAGUCUGAUGUGAAAGCCCCCGGCUCAACCGGGAAGGCUCAUUGAAAACUGAUUGACUUGAGUGCAGAAGAGGAGAGUGGAAUUCCAUGUGUAGCGGUGAAAUGCGGAGAUAUAUAGGGGAACACCAGUGGCGAGGGCGACUCUCUGGUCUGUAACUGACGCUGAGGCUCGAGAGCGUGGGUAGCAAACAGG